GGAUCGAUGAUGACUCCCUACAAAUGCAUUCCUUGGAAAUCUGAACAAAAUGAGUGACAAUCCCUACCGUCGU
Leptonychotes weddellii (Weddell seal) is the source of this 73-nucleotide non-coding RNA. NCBI's taxonomy places the organism in Eukaryota, Metazoa, Chordata, Mammalia, Carnivora, Phocidae. The record is from RefSeq and is a predicted model, not a curated record.